UCCUGGUUAGCUCAGUUGGUAGAGCGCUCCACUUGUAAUGGAGAGGUCCCGGGUUCGAUACCCGGACCAGGCA
RNAcentral lists this transfer RNA (73 nucleotides) under Ixodes scapularis (black-legged tick). It matches the Rfam family "tRNA". From Rfam's summary of the family: Transfer RNA (tRNA) molecules are approximately 80 nucleotides in length. Their secondary structure includes four short double-helical elements and three loops (D, anti-codon, and T loops). Lineage: Eukaryota; Metazoa; Arthropoda; Arachnida; Ixodida; Ixodidae. The record is from Rfam by way of RNAcentral.